CGGGUGAGUAUAAUGUGGGAAUCUGCCUUUUGGUUUGGAAUAACACGAGGAAACUUGUGCUAAUACCGAAUAAGCCUUUACAGGGAAAGUUUUAACGCCGAAAGAUGAGCCCGCACUUGAUUAGCUAGUUGGUAAGGUAAAAGCUUACCAAGGCAAUGAUCAAUAGCUGUUCUUAGAGGAAGACCAGCCACAUUGGGACUGAGACACGGCCCAGACUCCUACGGGAGGCAGCAGUGGGGAAUCUUGCACAAUGGGGGAAACCCUGAUGCAGCGAUGCCGCGUGAGUGAAGAAGGCCUUUGGGUUGUAAAACUCUUUCGUCGGGGAAGAAAAUGACUGUACCCGAAUAAGAAGGUCCGGCUAACUUCGUGCCAGCAGCCGCGGUAAUACGAAGGGACCUAGCGUAGUUCGGAAUUACUGGGCUUAAAGAGCUCGUAGGUGGUUAAAAAAGUUGAUGGUGAAAUCCCAAGGCUCAACCUUGGAACUGCCAUCAAAACUUUUUAGCUA
This 505-nucleotide ribosomal RNA is filed under the name uncultured Pelagibacterales bacterium. Its description in RNAcentral is "bacterial SSU rRNA". It matches the Rfam family "Bacterial small subunit ribosomal RNA", at positions 103 to 643 of the family's 1533-position model. The record is from RNAcentral. Lineage: Bacteria; Pseudomonadati; Pseudomonadota; Alphaproteobacteria; Candidatus Pelagibacterales.